Molecule: ribosomal RNA, 253 nt
Filed under: uncultured bacterium
Lineage: Bacteria
Description: partial 16S ribosomal RNA
Rfam family: Bacterial small subunit ribosomal RNA
Source: RNAcentral
UACGGAGGGCGCAAGCGUUGUUCGGAAUUACUGGGCGUAAAGCGCGUGUAGGCGGCUCGACAAGUCGGGUGUGAAAUCCCGGAGCUCAACUCCGGAACUGCAUCCGAUACUGUCGAGCUAGAGUCUCGGAGAGGAUGGCGGAAUUUCCGGUGUAGAGGUGAAAUUCGUAGAUAUCGGAAGGAACACCAGUGGCGAAGGCGGCCGUCUGGACGAUGACUGACGCUGAGACGCGAAAGCGUGGGGAGCAAACAGG